UUCUGACUGGUUGUUGUGUGUUAAUGCAGUGUAGAGAGGGGGAGUGAAUAUGUAUUACUGGGCUAGGAAGUUAAGGGAUGGGCUCCAUUGGGAAGACACACAGACGGACAUCUGCUACACACACACACACACACACACACACACACACACACACACACACACACACACACACACACACACACACACACACACACACACACACACAUUUUCUCUAAUACCUCAAGACAAGCAAUAGAAGGCUUGUUAUUCUCUUUCUCAAUUCAAUUAAAUUCACAUGGCUUUCUUGGUAUGUUAAACAUAUGUUUACAUUGCCAAAGCGAGUGAAAUGGAUCAUUAACAAAAGUCAAAUAAACACUCACAACAGUUUCAGAGGAAUAGAGACAUUUCAAAUGUCAUAUUAUGCCUGUGUACAGUGUUGUAAUGAUAUGCAAAUAGUUAAAGUACAGAAGGGAAAAUAAAUAAACAUAACUCUCUCCUCUCCCUCUUCUUCGAAUCCGUCUCCUUCUCUCUCUCCUCUCCCUCUGUUUCAAAUCCGUCUCCUUCUCUCUCUCCCUCUUUUUCAAAUCCGUCUCCUUCUCUCUCUCUCUCCUCUCCCUCUGUUUCAAAUCCGUCUCCUUCUCUCUCUCCUCUCCCUCUGUUUCAAAUCCGUCUCCUUCUCUCUCUCUCCUCUCCUUCUGUUUCAAAUCCGACUCCUUCUCUCUCUCCCUCUGUUUCAAAUCCGACUCCUCUCUCUCUCCUCUCCUCUCCCUCUGUUUCAAAUCCGUAUCCUUCUCUCUCUCUCCUCUCCUUCUGUUUCAAAUCCGACUCCUUCUCUCUCUCCUCUCCCUCUGUUUCAAAUCCGACUCCUUCUCUCUCUCUCCUCUCCUCUCCCUCUGUUUCAAAUCCUCCUUCUCUCUCCUCUCCCUCUGUUUCAAAUCCUUCUCUCUCCUCUCCCUCUGUUUCAAAUCCUCCUUCUCUCUCCUCUCCCUCUGUUUCAAAUCCUCCUUCUUUCUCCUCUCCCUCUGUUUCAAAUCCUUCUCUCUCUCCUCUCCCUCUGUUUCAAAUCCGUCUCCUCUCUCUCUCCUUUCCCUCUGUUUCAAAUCCUCCUCUCUCUCCUCUCCCUCUGUUUCAAAUCCGUCUCCUUCUCUCUCUCCUCUCCCUCUGUUUCAAAUCCUCCUUCUCUCUCCUCUCCCUCUGUUUCAAGUCCUUCUCUCUCUCCUCUCCCCCUGUUUCAAAUCCGUCUCCUUCUCUCUCUCCUCUCCCCCUGUUUCAAAUCCGUCUCCUUCUCUCUCUCCUCUCCCCCUGUUUCAAAUCCGUCUCCUCCUCUCUCUCCUCUCCCUCUGUUUCAAAUCCUCCUCUCUCUCCUCUCCCUCUGUUUCAAAUCCUCCUCUCUCUCCUCUCCCUCUGUUUCAAAUCCUUCUCUCUCUCCUCUCCCUCUGUUUCAAAUCCUCCUCUCUCUCCUCUCCCUCUGUUUCAAAUCCUCCUCUCUCUCCUCUCCCUCUGUUUCAAAUCCUUCUCUCUCUCCUCUCCCUCUGUUUCAAAUCCUCCUCUCUCUCCUCUCCCUCUGUUUCAAAUCCUUCUCUCUCUCCUCUCCCUCUGUUUCAAAUCCUCCUCUCUCUCCUCUCCCUCUGUUUCAAAUCCUCCUCUCUCUCCUCUCCCUCUGUUUCAAAUCCUCCUCUCUCUCCUCUCCCUCUGUUUCAAAUCCUUCUCUCUCUCCUCUCCCUCUGUUUCAAAUCCUCCUUCUCUCUCCUCUCCCUCUGUUUCAAAUCCUCCUCUCUCUCCUCUCCCUCUGUUUCAAAUCCUCCUCUCUCUCCUCUCCCUCUGUUUCAAAUCCUCCUCUCUCUCCUCUCCCUCUGUUUCAAAUCCUCCUCUCUCUCCUCUCCCUCUGUUUCAAAUCCUCCUCUCUCUCCUCUCCCUCUGUUUCAAAUCCUCCUCUCUCUCCUCUCCCUCUGUUUCAAAUCAGCAUAUUUUCUAAGAUGUUAUUAGCAGCAGCUGUCACUCACACCUAGUUGUUGCAUCUAAUUCUCUGGUGUAUGUAUGUGAGAGGGAGGUACUUCUAAAGUGGGACUGUACUAGGUGUGGUUGUUAGCUGUAUCCAGUGAGACUGUACUAGGUGUGGUUGUUAGCUGUAUCCAGUGGGACUGUACUAGGUGUGGUUGUUAGCUGUUUCCAGUGGGACUGUACUAGGUGUGGUUGUUAGCUGUAUCCAGUGGGACUGUACUGGGUGUGGUUGUUAGCUGUAUCCAGUGGGACUGUACUAGGUGUGGUUGUUAGCUGUAUCCAGUGGGACUGUACUAGGUGUGGUUGUUAGCUGUAUCCAGUGAGACUGUACUAGGUGUGGUUGUUAGCUGUUUCCAGUGAGACUGUACUAGGUGUGGUUGUUAGCUGUAUCCAGUGAGACUGUACUAGGUGUGGUUGUUAGCUGUAUCCAGUGGGACUGUACUAGGUGUGGUUGAUAGAUAGCUGUAUCCAGUGGGACUGUACUAGGUGUGGUUGUUAGCUGUAUCCAGUGGGACUGUACUAGGUGUAGUUGAUAGAUAGCUGUAUCCAGUGGGACUGUACUAGGUGUGGUUGUUAGCUGUAUCCAGUGGGACUGUACUAGGUGUGGUUGUUAGCUGUAUCCAGUGAGACUGUACUAGGUGUGGUUGAUAGAUAGCUGUAUCCAGUGAGACUGUACUAGGUGUGGUUGAUAGAUAGCUGUAUCCAGUGGGACUG
Molecule: long non-coding RNA, 2694 nt
Organism: Salvelinus fontinalis (brook trout)
Lineage: Eukaryota; Metazoa; Chordata; Actinopteri; Salmoniformes; Salmonidae
Exons: 3
Source: RefSeq, a predicted model, not a curated record